UGACUAUUGGCGCCUCGUCCAGUCAUUUUAGUCACUUUUACUGCUGUUGCUUUCUAAGUGCUUGCGUGAUGGUACCCGACCUAUGGGAAGUGGUGCUUCAUAAAAUGUUUCCUUGUGGUGGUSACCUUAUGGUGUACCGCUGCGGCCUAAUGGCCCAUGCGGCGUUUCCUCGUGGUGCUUGCACGCUUCUGUGCAGGUGCUAUCAGCGCAACCUCGCUUGGGCUGUUGGUCUCGGAUGUUGCUCACGAUGAAGGGUCAUGGCCCUUUUGGAUGCCUUGACCCGACCAUUAAGCUGCUCUCCGAAUUUGAGAAAACCCGGAACAGGUGUUGCCUCUACCUCUCCGCAGUUAGUGGUAGGAUACGCAACAUUCUGCGCCGAUCCUCAAGCAAGUAGGAUGAGCAGCUCCUUGUCGCGACAACUGGCUCACCUUGCCUCAGCCUGGCCGCUUAAUAGGACGGGCGGGCAAGGACCGAUGCUGGACGUCAACGAGGACGUGCUACCUGGUUGAUCCUGCCAGUAGUC
This 523-nucleotide unclassified non-coding RNA is filed under the name Ammochloa palaestina. Its description in RNAcentral is "contains 3' external transcribed spacer, ETS". The record is from RNAcentral. Lineage: Eukaryota; Viridiplantae; Streptophyta; Magnoliopsida; Poales; Poaceae.